RNAcentral lists this ribosomal RNA (253 nucleotides) under uncultured bacterium. Its description in RNAcentral is "partial 16S ribosomal RNA". It matches the Rfam family "Bacterial small subunit ribosomal RNA", at positions 524 to 776 of the family's 1533-position model. The record is from RNAcentral.
GACAGAGGUGCCGAGCGUUAGGCGGAAUCACUGGGCUUAAAGCGUGUGUAGGCGGAUCCGUAAGUACCUUGUGAAAUCCCACGGCUCAACCGUGGAACGGCUGGGUAUACUGCCUGUCUUGAGCCAACUAGGGGCGAGCGGAACAGACGGUGGAGCGGUGAAAUGCGUAGAUAUCGUCUGGAACGCCAAAGGUGAAAACAGCUCGCUGGGGUUGUGCUGACGCUGAGACACGAAAGCCAGGGGAGCGAACGGG